RNAcentral lists this ribosomal RNA (387 nucleotides) under uncultured bacterium. Its description in RNAcentral is "bacterial SSU rRNA". It matches the Rfam family "Bacterial small subunit ribosomal RNA", at positions 8 to 380 of the family's 1533-position model. The record is from RNAcentral.
AGAGUUUGAUCCUGGCUCAGAACGAACGCUGGCGGCGUGCCUAACACAUGCAAGUCGAACGGAGUGAAGGAGCUUGCUCUUUCAUUUAGUGGCGCACGGGUGAGUAACGCGUAGAUAAUCUGCCUUGGACUCUGGGAUAACAUCUCGAAAGGGGUGCUAAUACCGGAUAAGCCCACGAUGGCGUAAGUCAUUGCGGGAAAAGGGGGCCUCUGAAUAUGCUCCUGAUUCAAGAUGAGUCUGCGUACCAUUAGCUAGUUGGUAGGGUAAGAGCCUACCAAGGCGACGAUGGUUAGCUGGUCUGAGAGGAUGAUCAGCCACACUGGAACUGAGACACGGUCCAGACUCCUACGGGAGGCAGCAGUGGGGAAUUUUGCGCAAUGGGGGAAA